CAAACGGCCCUUUUCAGGGCCACCACACUCUAGUAGAUCGAACCCUU
Molecule: non-coding RNA, 47 nt
Organism: Tropilaelaps mercedesae
Lineage: Eukaryota; Metazoa; Arthropoda; Arachnida; Mesostigmata; Laelapidae
Source: Rfam